Molecule: unclassified non-coding RNA, 195 nt
Filed under: Archaeorhizomyces sp.
Lineage: Eukaryota; Fungi; Ascomycota; Archaeorhizomycetes; Archaeorhizomycetales; Archaeorhizomycetaceae
Description: partial contains small subunit ribosomal RNA, internal transcribed spacer 1, and 5.8S ribosomal RNA
Rfam family: Eukaryotic small subunit ribosomal RNA (bases 1-46)
Source: RNAcentral
AAGUCGUAACAAGGUCUCCGUAGGUGAACCUGCGGAGGGAUCAUUACUGAAUGGCCUCUAGGCCUUCACCUUGCAAACCUGUGGAAGCACAUCUUGCUUCGGUGCUCCGGCGCCGCUUUUAUGCCCUAAUCAGUCUUUAUGUGUCUGAAUCAAAUACAAGGAAUAAAACUUUCAACAAAGGAUCUCUUGGCUCUC